CUAAUAGCGUAUAUUAAAGUUGCUGCGGUUAAAAAGCUCGUAGUUGAAUUUCGGAAUUGAUGCAUCGGUCGUGCCUUAAGGGGCAUGAACUGGUGUAGCCAAUUUCUCACCUUCUGGUGAAUUGUUGAUGUUCUUAAUGGGUGUCUCAAUGAACUAGAAUUUUUACUUUGAAAAAAUUAGAGUGUUUAAAGCAGGCAUUA
Molecule: ribosomal RNA, 200 nt
Filed under: uncultured Glomus
Lineage: Eukaryota; Fungi; Glomeromycota; Glomeromycetes; Glomerales; Glomeraceae
Description: partial small subunit ribosomal RNA
Rfam family: Eukaryotic small subunit ribosomal RNA
Source: RNAcentral